Long non-coding RNA from Lagopus leucura (white-tailed ptarmigan), 411 nucleotides. RefSeq lists it as uncharacterized. The transcript is spliced from 3 exons. The record is from RefSeq and is a predicted model, not a curated record. Lineage: Eukaryota; Metazoa; Chordata; Aves; Galliformes; Phasianidae.
AAGCCCCAUAGAUCCCGCCCCCCCACAGGCUGCUGGAAGCAUGCGGCGCCCCAUUGGACACUCCCGGUUCCCGCCUCUACCUUGCUGGCCCCCGAUUGGUCGAAGCCGUCCAGACCUUCUUGAAGGUGGGGCCAAAGAAACGCCCCACCGCUGGCCACGCCCCUUCCGGCGGACGUGACGUCAUGGCGACGGCAAGAAUGCUAUUGGCUGGUCUGACUCUGCUCGCUGCUGACCCAUUGGCUGACGGCAGCUUCCAGGGGGCGGAGCUUGAACACCUGGCUUUGCUACCGCGCCUUCUGGCGGAGGCGGAGCUUUGGGGUCCUUUAUGGGAUCUGAUCUGUGGGGCCGGAUUCCUGUGCGCCCACGGGGAGCGCGGCGCCGUGGGGCUGCUGGUCCAUGGGGCCGGGAUGC